This 769-nucleotide long non-coding RNA is filed under the name Marmota monax (woodchuck). Lineage: Eukaryota; Metazoa; Chordata; Mammalia; Rodentia; Sciuridae. The record is from RNAcentral.
AUGGCUACCACUAGCCACAUAGCUCCACUGAUUCCUGGUCUCGUCUUUUGCUUCCCUCGGCCCCCGCCCACUCCCAGACACAGGCUGAGACAAGGCUUGCAGCCCGGCAGGCCUGGGUUAGCACUCAGGCGCCUGCCACCCCCUAAUCAUCACUCUGGGUAAAUGAUUCUCCUCGCUGAGCCUCAGUUUCCUUCUCUGUAAAAGGUACAGUCAACCUCAAAGGCAGUUUAGUAAUGAGAUGGCAGAAGAAAAAACCCUGUUCCUGUCUCCCUGUCACUCUGCACACAGUUCCUCCAUGCAGCGGGGCUUCAUGGCUGUACCUGUGGUGCGGUCACCUUCAGAAGGGCCCUGCGCGCGGUCAGUGCUGUGCUGUUGCUCUUGACAUCUUUUGUGAUGUCUGAACAAGGCGCCCUGCACUUUCAUUUGGGACUGGGCUCUCAAAAUUCUGCAGCGUGCCUGGUCUGUCUUCAGCUCUUGGCUCCGCUGGUCCUUCUCAUGCCCUGCAACCCUCUGCGCCUUCUCUACAGACGCGUUCAAGGGCUCCAACGCCAGCCAGGGAGAUGGCAUUGCAAUGCAGAGGCUUAGGAGGCCUGGGCCUGUCGUGCUCUGCUGGUCAGAAGGGAGGUCGGGGGCGGAGGGGGGGAUGUGGUAAUAACCCAGGGAAAGAGAGGGAGGGCCAGCCCAGGAGCCCUGGUGGGUGAAGUGUGAGGGAGCUAGGGGUGAGCGCAUGGGCAGGGGAAUGGAAGAGGGGACAAGGCAGGAGGUGCGC